Molecule: ribosomal RNA, 253 nt
Filed under: uncultured bacterium
Lineage: Bacteria
Description: partial 16S ribosomal RNA
Rfam family: Bacterial small subunit ribosomal RNA
Source: RNAcentral
UACAGGGGGGGCAAGCGUUGUUCGGAAUUACUGGGCGUAAAGGGCCAGUAGGCGGCCAACUAAGUCACACGUGAAAUCCCCAGGCUUAACCUGGGAACUGCGUGUGAUACUGGAUGGCUUGAAUUCGGGAGAGGGAUGCAGAAUUCCUGGUGUAGCGGUGGAAUGCGCAGAUAUCAGGAGGAACACCAAUGGCGAAGGCAGCUCUCUGGUACGUGACUGACACUGAGACGCGAAAGCGUGGGGAGCGAACAGG